Molecule: ribosomal RNA, 459 nt
Filed under: uncultured bacterium
Lineage: Bacteria
Description: partial 16S ribosomal RNA
Rfam family: Bacterial small subunit ribosomal RNA
Source: RNAcentral
CCUACGGGUGGCAGCAGUGAGGACUAUUGGUCAAUGGCCGAGAGGCUGAACCAGCCAAGUCGCGUGAGGGAUGACGGCCCUACGGGUUGUAAACCUCUUUUGUCGGGGAGCAAAGAGAGUCACGUGUGGCUCAUUGAGAGUACACGAAGAAAAAGCCUCGGCUAACUCCGUGCCAGCAGCCGCGGUAAUACGGAGGAUUCGAGCUUUAUUCGGAUUUAUUGGGUUUAACGGGUGCGCAGGCGGAGGUGCAAGUCAGUGGUCAAAUUGCGGGGCUCAACCCCGUACUGCCGUUGAAACUGCAUCCCUUGAGUGCGCGAGAAGUAUGAGGAAUGCGUGGUGGAGCGGUGAAAUGCAUAGAUAUCACGCAGAACUCCGAUUGCGAAGGCAGCAUACCGGCGCGCAACUGACGCUCAUGCACGAAAGCGUGGGUAUCGAACAGGAUUAGAUACCCGAGUAGUC